UUGAACAUGUACCUUACCGUAAAUUAUACCUGCAGCAAAUCCCCAUCAUUAGGUGACUUAAGUGACUUUGAAGCAUAUGGUCGCCAGCUGAGAUUUCACCUUUUUACCAGUUGGAAAACAGUGGAAACAGGAGGCGGUGUAUUGAUCAUAAAGGGGACAGCGCAGGAACAUUCUGCUGCAGCUGUGUAUAUAGACACUACAAUGCUGUGGAAGUAAUAAAAAGCGCUCAAAAUAACUUAACCCAAAGUUUUGAGAAUAAGGAAAUGAG
Molecule: long non-coding RNA, 268 nt
Organism: Hyla sarda
Lineage: Eukaryota; Metazoa; Chordata; Amphibia; Anura; Hylidae
Exons: 3
Source: RefSeq, a predicted model, not a curated record